AAUUACUAAGGCUCUGCCUUGCAAUGACGAUGCCCCUGCAAUACGGGGGCUCGCCAAAACGCGCUGGCGCAGUCCCGUGGUGAGCGACGUAGCGACAUACGCAGCGAACCGACGGUGAAGGCCGCCCGUCAAACUCCAAA
Molecule: unclassified non-coding RNA, 140 nt
Filed under: uncultured Dothideomycetes
Lineage: Eukaryota; Fungi; Ascomycota; Dothideomycetes
Description: sequence contains ITS2
Source: RNAcentral